GCGAACUUCCCAACCCGGGCGCGAGGCGCGCCGGCCCGCGGGGGGAGGGAGUCCCGCGGCGGGAUUUGGGGGGAGGGCGUCCCGUUUCGUGAGUGUUUCUUCGUUUCUUUAAGAGCUACCAGAAAGCAGCCCACCCCCACCCCCAUUAAAAAAAAAAUAAGCGAGUGGGGAAGAGCCAGCCCCACGCCGGUCCGCCUCCCGCCCACGGCUCGGCCUCCCUCCCGCCUGGCUCGGCGCUCCUCAGCCCCGAGUUCUCCAUCCCCUGGAUCCCGGGCUCGCGGGGGCGCGGAGAAGAGGAUCCAGGAAAGUCAUUUAAUGCAGGUGGGCAUGCAUCAUGAUCCAUAAUACUCCUGCGCUCCCGCCUCCAGCCAUCCUUGGCCUCUUCACCUUCACGUCCUCCCUGCUGGAACCCAGCCUGGAAAAAUGAUUCCAAGCAUGUUGUUUUAUACCCAGCCAAGUCUGAAGCCCUGGAAGUGGAUCUGAUCUUUUACCUGUCUCUAGCAUUGAUGUUUUUUAUUCUGUUGAAGGCAUCAAUAUUUGUUCAAUAGUAUAAAUCUUAAAUAAGCAUCUAAACUACAUAUUACAGAUGAUGAAAGUCGUUUCUGCACAGAAGAUUAUCUCACAUGAUCGUGUUUCCUUCGUUAUCUGGGGCCUCUGUAGUUGGCAAAUCUCCGCAGCUACUUAAAUGAUAACAUUAGUCCUAAUGCCAUGUAAAAUGACUAGUUCCUCAGGGUAGGUUUAUUUUUAAUAGUGUAUGUCAGCAGCAAAUAGCUUGGAAGACCCCAGAGGAAAAAGCACAGCUCAGGCUCUCACUGAAGCGAUGAUACAGAUAUAUUUAAUAUCUAUAUUAAAAACCUUUUAGGCACCAUGGUGAUAUUGAACUGGAUAGUUAGGCAUGUGCAGGGAAAAUCCUGGGCUGUUUAUAGAGCGUGAUGCAGUGUGCAUAGUAGAAACCUUUUGAGGUUCUUCUAAGUCAAAUUUGGGCCUCAAAAAUCUUUGACAGACAUUUGACCCCAGUAGUAAAAUACGCUGAAACACAAGCUGGGAGAAUAAAAUUACUUCCUUUUCUCUUUUUUGGUAAGCCUGUUGAUAAGUUUGCUGCGCUAUUAAAAUGUUUAAUCACUUGCCUCCAGCAAGAGCAAGCUUCUGUCUGAAGUUGCAAUUUAUUAGAGUGCCCAGAACAUACUUGCUGUUUAUCCAAAAGAUGGCCAGGGAAUUCUUACAGAGAAAACAAACCACAAUUUGAAAUCAAGCAUAGAAUGGCAGAUGAAUAGAUCGAAGGCAAAAAUUAUUUUGGAGUUGAUUUCAGGGGAGACAUGAUAAAACCUGCACUGAUUUUCUAUCCCAAAGGCACAGGGUUAAAUCAUACAGUGGCCACAGGUCUGGCCUGUGAGAUAUCCCUGGGACAGAUGGUAAAAGUGGUGCCAGGCCUGUCCCAGGGAGGGGAGAAGAGGCAGCAGAGGAAAGGGCUGCUUGCUAGAAGCAUACCUUCCAAGAAGAGGCAUUUCUCUCUGCUUUCAGGUUUGGUCAGAGAAGCUCAGCCUGGAAGGGCAAUAAACAGAUAGGUGCCUGGUUUCAGCAGAAUGCUAUGCCCAAACCCCUCCUCCCUCCUUCUCUUCUAUGGACCUCACUCUGGCCUUUCAAACUCAUCCCAGGCAAACUGAGUCAUGGGGCAGGGAAAUGCCUUCAAGACAGUGAGCAUCAUUCAGUUAUGGCUCCCGAAGGCCUCUUGCUAGUGGCACAACACCAUGGACCUAGCCCUUGAAGGAAGAGGAGAGAAGGAGCGCCUUGGAGGGCCACGGAUAAUUAACUCCUUCCAGAAACUGGUAUCCAGGACUAUGCCUCGGAGGGCACCUACAGAUAAUGAGCCUACCAUCAGGUCACAAUUUUCUAAACACAGAUGUGUAAAGACAUAAGGAAUUUCCUGUUUAUCAUCCUGUCUUUGCCUAUACAAAUUCCUUUUUAAAUCUGGAUGAUUGUAUCCCAAACUGGGUUAUAAAGAAUAACAGAUAUUCUGGCAGAAAAGAAUACUACGGCUUAAUACAUUUGGGAAAUACUGCAUACCUUGAAUCAACAGAUACAAUGGCAUAUUAAUGACUCUCCUAUGUCCUGAACUGAAAACUAGCAAACAAAACUGGUUUCACUCUGUUUCCCCCAGUGUUUCUCCAAAUGGUUUGGCUACGAACUGCUUUCUUCACAGAACAGCUAUCAUCAUCUUACCUUUGUGGAAGGCAGUUUAAGAAUUGCUGUGUUAUGGUAGGCAGAAUUCUAAAAAUGCCCUUGUUUUCCCCAAGAUUCUCCUCUUCUGUUGAUUCAAUUGAAUAUUUACACAAAUGCUGCUGAGAGGGAAUUUUGCAGAUGCAAGUAAAGCCCUAAGUAAAUCGACUUUAAAAUAUGGAGAGUAUCUGGGUGAACCUGACCCAAUCAGGUGACCUCUUAAUUGAAAGGGUGAGGAUUUGAUGUUCCUUCUGUGGCUUUGAAGGUGGAGGGAACCCCAUGAGAAGGAAUAUGGGCAGCCUGGAGAGGCAGAGACCAACCCCAACCCCCAGCUGACAGCGAUGAAAUGGGGACAUCAGACCUGAAGCCACAAGGAACCGGAUUCUGUCAACAACUGUAAAAAACUGGAAGCAGAAUCUUUCCCAAAGCCCCCAGAUAAGAACCCAGAUGGCUGACACUUUGAUGUUGGCCUUGUGAGACUCUGAGCAGAGUCCAGGUGAGACUACCUGGACUUCUGACCUGUAGAAUUGUGGGAUAUUAAAUGGGUGUUGUUUUAAGCUGCUAAAUUUGUGGUAAUUCAUUUUGCAACGACAGAAAACUACUACAUACUGAUUCAGAGAAAUCAAAACAGAAGUGGUACACUCUUCUCUACCCUUUUACAUUCACACGGUGUUUCCAAUGUAACGCUCAUGUAUGGUCAGGGCAGGUGUCUCUGUUUUUACAGGUGAUGAUAUAGACUCAGAGAGAUUAAGUUACUUGCCCAGGACACUCAGCUAGGAAAUGGGGGAAGGGGACUUGAACGGGCUUUUUUGUGUGUGAGUUAGGAUGGGGUGGGGGCGUGUUUCCUUUACUGUCUUUUGCAUUCAAAUAGGAAAAGGCAUUUGGAGAGACUGCAGUUGGGAGCUUGCAAAGGAGGAUGUAAAAAAAAAAUCAGGGAAGAACACAUCAAGCAGCCGGUUCAACUGCUUCAUCAGAGAGGUCCUUUCUUUCAUCUCUUGUGUCUGAGCAGAAAAGCUUGUUAGAAAAAGGACCUACAGCUGUGAGUCAGUGACAAUGUGUGGGGGCAGGGUCUUAUGAGGCCACCGGAAGUGGGCUGCUGGGAUGCUUUAUACGGACAACUAAGGGUGAAGACACGCAGGCCUGUAAUAUCAAGAGAAACAAUGUUUGCAGGCUGACCGCCCAGAUGGGUGGUUUGCAGAGGUGGAGCUGCCUGCAUAAUUAAUCAGCUCUAGCUUUCUUCGCCACAACUAGCAUUCCUACCUGUACCCGCAGCCCUUGAGGGGCCCCUCACUCAGUGUCAUGGAGCAGACAAGUCAUCUGGGACCACUGCCCACUAACCCCCAUGGACAGAAGUGGAGACUGAAGCCCUGAAAAGGAACAGGACUUCCUCAAGGUCACAGUCAAGGAUCCCCUAACAUAUGACAAUUCUCUGUGUUGGUUAGUGAUGACUUCCUGAUGAGCCAGUAUUCCUUACUGAGCAAAUUUAGUGUGUGUGUAUGUGUGUGUGUGUGUAUGUGUGUGUGUUUUGUGUCCAGUAUGAGAGUCAGAACUGUGAAGUGUUAUUAUUGUCCUAAUAAUAAUAGAAGUCAAUACCCACAGAGUAGAGACCCAGUGCUUGAUGCUGUCUUGAAAGUGCUUCGUGCUAACCCCAUUCUCACAGCAAGCCCAUGAGGUAGUCAGGAAAUCAUUAGGGCUCUUAACAAAUGUUUCUGUCCAGAAGUGGAUCCAGGUUUUGCAGAGCUUAAAGCUUAUCCAAUUUGUGGGGACCUCUUGAAGGAAAGGAAUACCAACUUACAAAUAUAAAUUAGGCACAAGGCCUCAUGAAAGAGAAGAGCUUGGAAGCAUUACAGUAAGUCUGUUAGUUGCACGUUAAUGCUCCCUGCCCCUUGUGAAGUUACGCAAGAGAAUGACUUGCUUUGACCAAGGGGAUGUGAAUGAAAUUGAUGUGUGUCACUUCUGCGUGGAAGUCUUAAGAUUUAGUGGGUGAUUCUCCACUUUGUUUCCUAACCCUGACUCCCAUGGUCCCUGGAUUGACCAUGGAAACGUGUGCCAAGAUGGAACCUCCUUUGCCCUGGAACUCUGAGUCUGUGAUAUCUAGAGCAACCUCUCUCUUAACCCUGCCCUGUGUCAACCGACAUGAGAUCUGGAGUGUAAGUAAGAAAUAAACUUUCGUCUUGGUAAUUCACUGAGAUUUUGGAGAUUUUUUUUUUUUUAACCACAGUGAACAUCACUUAACCUAACUGAUAUAGGCAGGGUCUUAUUAUUGUUUCCGUUUUCCAGAUGAGAAAAUUGAGACAUAGAGAGAUUCAGUUACUUGCCUGAGAUCACCCAGCUAGUUAAUGGUAAAACUGGGAUAAAUGGCUCAGUGUCUUUGUUUCUAGGUGACAUUAGGGAGUGGAGGGGACUUCAGCAAACUGAAGAUAUUUGUUCCAUCUGAAGACUGCUUCUGACUUCCUGCUGAUGGUUGUAAAAGAGGAAUGUAGGCCUUCAUUGCCAGAUCCUCUCAUUUUUUUUUUAAGCAGAAGCCAAAAAUCCAGCAUUUUAAUGUAAAACCAACUGAUUGAAAUAUUUUCUUUUUCUUUUUUUAAACACCAUGAAACUAAGACAUCAGUGAGCUAGGAGGCUUGGUUCAUCAGUUUGAGACCUUACAAUAUCCAAGUUUUCUUUAAAAACAAAACACUAAAAAUUCAAGCCACUAACAGGUAGUGACAUAGCCAUGGUAGUCUGAGAAGGCUUUGGUGGGGAGGUAGGACUGUGGCAAGAUGUCCAGUGCCCAGAGAGGUUCCCUGCACUAAGAUGAUAGGGGUCGGGGAUGUUCCUGGGCUGGGGAUGGAAAGAGAAUAGUCACACAGAUUUUCAAAGACUCAGUCACAUCAAAAAUGUUUUGUGGUCAGGCACAGUGGC
Long non-coding RNA from Cercocebus atys (sooty mangabey), 5121 nucleotides. RefSeq lists it as uncharacterized. Lineage: Eukaryota; Metazoa; Chordata; Mammalia; Primates; Cercopithecidae. The record is from RefSeq and is a predicted model, not a curated record. The transcript has 3 exons.